UGUUGAAAAAGGCAAACUCGUCGAAAGGCGGGGACGCAAAGCCACGGGUCUAAAGCGAUAGUUUUGCUAUGAUAGCCGGGCUGCCAAC
Non-coding RNA from Thermoanaerobacter sp. X514, 88 nucleotides. The record is from Rfam. Lineage: Bacteria; Bacillati; Bacillota; Clostridia; Thermoanaerobacterales; Thermoanaerobacteraceae.